AUACGGAGGGUGCGAGCGUUGUUCGGAAUCACUGGGCGUAAAGGGCGCGCAGGCGGUCUGUCAAGUCAGAUGUGAAAGCCCACGGCUCAACCGUGGACGUGCAUCUGAAACUGGCAGACUCGAGUACCGGAGGGGAAAGUGGAAUUCCCGGUGUAGAGGUGAAAUUCGUAGAUAUAGGGAGGAAUACCGGAGGCGAAGGCGACUUUCUGGACGGAUACUGACGCUGAGGCGCGAAAGCGUGGGGAGCGAACAGGAUUAGAAACCCUAGUAGUCC
RNAcentral lists this ribosomal RNA (274 nucleotides) under uncultured bacterium. RNAcentral's name for it is "partial 16S ribosomal RNA". It matches the Rfam family "Bacterial small subunit ribosomal RNA", at positions 523 to 796 of the family's 1533-position model. The record is from RNAcentral.